Molecule: ribosomal RNA, 484 nt
Filed under: uncultured bacterium
Lineage: Bacteria
Description: partial 16S ribosomal RNA
Rfam family: Bacterial small subunit ribosomal RNA
Source: RNAcentral
AGUGAACGCUGGCGGCAGGCCUAACACAUGCAAGUCGAGCGGCAGCGGGUCCUUCGGGAUGCCGGCGAGCGGCGGACGGGUGAGGAAUGCAUCGGAAUCUGCCCUGUCGUGGGGGAUAACCUAGGGAAACUUAGGCUAAUACCGCAUACGACCCACGGGUGAAAGCGGGGGAUCGCAAGACCUCGCGCGAUAGGAUGAGCCGAUGUCCGAUUAGCUAGUUGGCGGGGUAAAGGCCCACCAAGGCGACGAUCGGUAGCUGGUCUGAGAGGAUGAUCAGCCACACUGGGACUGAGACACGGCCCAGACUCCUACGGGAGGCAGCAGUGGGGAAUAUUGGACAAUGGGCGCAAGCCUGAUCCAGCCAUGCCGCGUGGGUGAAGAAGGCCUUCGGGUUGUAAAGCCCUUUUGUCCGGGAAGAAAUCGUCUGGGCUAAUACCCCGGGCGGACGACGGUACCGGAAGAAUAAGCACCGGCUAACUUCGUG